Oncorhynchus kisutch (coho salmon) is the source of this 2249-nucleotide long non-coding RNA. RefSeq lists it as uncharacterized. The transcript has 2 exons. The record is from RefSeq and is a predicted model, not a curated record. Lineage: Eukaryota; Metazoa; Chordata; Actinopteri; Salmoniformes; Salmonidae.
AGAAAUGUCACUAAUUUCUGUUCGCCAACAUGGAGAAAUCAAAGGAAAAAAAAACAGGAGGGCAGAGUGACUCUUCACUGUCUGCUAUGGACCAGCACAUUGGCAGCAUAAUUGGAGAGGUCUCACAUGGAACCCAAACCGGUUGCCAUCAAGCAUAAAGGUUUCUGGACUCUGUCAUAUCUUCCUGCUGAGCGCGCUGGAAAUUCUUGGCCACGUUCCCAGCAGCGCAAGGUCAUGGCUAAAAUGGAUCCAGCUUUUGUCAAAUUAACUUCAAGUAUAUUUUCACAUUUUACCAAACCCUUUUCCUAACCUUAACCUAAAAGUCUCAUAACCUGCUACGUUAAUUAUACUAACCUGCUACGAAAAGUCAAAUCGGACUUUAAUUUGACAAAAGCUGGAUCCCUUCUAGCCAUGACCGCACCGCAGCCUCCUGGGGCUGAUUUAGCCAAUGUUCCCACCCAGGAAUCCAGGACUUCUGACAGCAACUAGACCAGACUCUCUUUCAAGGCCACACUCCGUCAGCCUCUCCCGAGUCUGCCCCCGAGGCCAGCCAGGAACCUCUCCCUCAAAAGGCUGUCUCCCAUCUUCCUGGAGCUCUCAGAGAAACAGCCACUCUCUAUUAAAUGACAAUUACUCAAAACUAAGCCUGCAACACCCCAUUUUCUUUCUCUCCCUCCCUGACCUCUCUCGCCCCACAUGGUCACCCCUAACAUUUCACACAACAGAACUCUUUCUCGUGUUAGUCUGGAAGCAGUUAACCAUGCUGUUAGAUGUGAAGGCCAAGGUUAAAUGGAGGAAGUAUAAUGGCAAAAUUUGAAUAGAGCUUUUUCAUGUUGAAACAAGUAUUUUUUUAGACUUUGUUAGAGCAUGUUUGGAUUAAAUAUCAGUUUUCGAUUACACCUCAUGCAGCCAUGUGGGAUUUUGAAAGAUGGCAAUAGGCCUGGAAAGUGAAACGUAUCAGGACAUGUUUUUCUACAUACAAUACAUGCACAAAUAUGAACUUUUGUGUGCACACAUUCACUCGUUAAAAACACACACACAAAACGCAUUGGAUUCUUCAGAUAUUUCAUUUUAUAAAAAGGAAUGCAUUUAAAAAAAAAAACAUAUGUACCACUAUUAGUGUUUAAGCUGUACCGUUUUGACACAGGCAUCGUGCUAUUGGACACACAAGACAUUCCAUACACGGACACAGUUCAUACAUACAUACAUACUGUACAUACUUACAUACAUAGUCAUUCAUAUAUUUAUACAAAUAAUACAGGGUUAGGCAUGUUUGCGCUGUCUUUGAAGAAACCCAGGAGAGAGCAGGCAAUAUGGAAUCUGCCAAAGUGCUUUCACUAUUCCUACUGGUCUGGCCUAGCCUGGAAACUAAAUUUAUAUGCUCAGUUUAUUGUGAAGUGAAACAAUUGUGUAACAGAGCAUAUUAGUUUGAAUUCCAGGCUCGCUGUCUAACUAGCAGGCUGUAAAAACCUGCAUGGAAAUAUGAUGAGGACCAGAAGCGUGGCCAAGUGAGAGUGAGUCUGUACAAAGGCAGAUGAGGUUCUUCCUGAACAACAGGAACCGCUUUAUGAAACACAGGACUUCCUGCCGUUAGAGGAAGUAGAGUUUAUUUAGGCAUCUAAGAGAGUAAAGAGGACGACCUCUCGUGUGAAGGGAAUGGAGACCCGUGCUCCCCUUUAAACGGGAUCUUCUCUCGUUUAUGGAGGGGGAGAGGGAUUAUUGGGAUUGGGGAAGAUGAGAUGUGUCUACUCUGGAUGAAUCCCAUGUCUUCCUGUGUUGAACAGGACACUGUACUAUUUUUCAACCAUUCUACCUGGACUGGCUUGGGGGGUGAUAUUCCUGUUAUUUUGUUGUGGUCUGUUUUUAAGACUUCGCAGUGAGAUUGACCUACCCUGUUUAAUCCCACUCUCUGCACAUCAAUGACAAGUCAAUGAUCAAUAAUACUGUCAAAAAUAGAGCGGUCUCGCUCCAAACACUUCAUACUUACAUUCAGGCCCAUUCCCCUGGAGCAACGCCCAAUAAUAACAGAAAGCACACUCUGCCACUGCGUUGCUAUAACGUCGUUAAGACAACAGUCCUGUUGGUUAUGGGCUGCUGGGUAGCUGUCAUGGAGUGAAAUUUAUCAGGGCCAACUCACUUCAGGAAAUUUGUUUUCUGACUGGGCCUUCCUCUUAGGAAACGUUAGUUACAAAAGACAACAGUAGAAGCGAGAGGGACAGAUUUGAGAGAGAGAGAAUGUUAAUGAACAA